UGUGGGAGCGAGCCUGCUCGCGAAUGCGUCAGGUCAGUUGAAUGAUGCUGGCUGACACACCGCUAUCGCGAGCAGGCUCGCUCCCACA
RNAcentral lists this unclassified non-coding RNA (88 nucleotides) under Pseudomonas thivervalensis. The record is from RNAcentral. Lineage: Bacteria; Pseudomonadati; Pseudomonadota; Gammaproteobacteria; Pseudomonadales; Pseudomonadaceae.